CCAUUUCAAAAAUGUAGGGGCAAAUCAAGAAAUCUACAGUAAAUUAACAAAUAGCACUAUUUUAAAAGAUCAGUCUAACAAGGAAAAAAUGCACAUCCACCAACUCCCCCCCCCACACACACACAUACACACUCAGAGGGUAAUCAAGACAAAAUUGAAAAAUACACAUUGCCUGCACUAGGUGAAAACCUAGUGCAGAAGUCCCAAAAAACUCACAGCUCACAGACUGAGCAGCUGCAGUUCCUCUUGCCAGACUCUGACAGGUCGAUGGCCACAAGGCAGCUGUGGCUACUUGCCUACACUCCAUGAUUACCAGCUACUCUCAGAGUUCGUGCUUCCUUCCUUCUCUGAGUAUUUCAACAGAUGCAUGAAAUAACAAUGUCCACCUGGUAAACCCAGAGGGCUGGAGCAGGAACAGCAGUAUUAUAGCCAGCAAGAACACAGCUACCACAUGUUGUUAAGUGCCUGGUGACUUAUUUCCAAAUAAAACUGGACCCAGUUCCUAGUUCUUCUCCAAGCUUUGCAUCUAUUAUCGAGAAUGGAUGCCCGCUGAACAAUGCAAAGAAGAACAGAACAUACAGCCCACAGACAAAUUAUUCUGCAAGGAGAAGAACAGACUGGGUACAUUAGAGCUGAGAACUACGCCACAGCAUUCAGAAAAGAGUGAAAGCAGUGCAGCAGAGCUGAAUCACAUGAAAAGGAGGUUAUACCCGUUCAGAUUUUGCAAAGAUUCCGUAAGGACUCCAAACUCCUCUGACUCUUGGUUCCCUUUGUUGACAUGCCCUGCUGUUGCUCCAUCCUAAGGGAUGUCUACAUUUCAGGUCAAAAGAAAUCUCAUUCCCAUUAUCCAUUUGACCUCUGUAUGUCUCAUUUUCUGUAAGUCUCUUCCCAAAGUUAUAUUCACUGUACUUGCUGAUUCAAUUUAGCUGUAAACCCCAUUAAAAUUAAUGAACACAAAGCUAACAUCUCUUUAUUUUCACUGGUUGGUUGGUUUGGUUGUUUUAAUUGAAUUUUAAUUUUUUAUACCAGGCACAUCCAAUUAAAAUAUAUUA
This 1052-nucleotide long non-coding RNA is filed under the name Pogona vitticeps (central bearded dragon). RNAcentral's name for it is "lncRNA (ENSPVIG00000024683.1)". The record is from RNAcentral. Lineage: Eukaryota; Metazoa; Chordata; Lepidosauria; Squamata; Agamidae.